GGAUCAUUACAGAGCUGCAAAACUCCCUAAACCAUCGUGAACGCUACCUAAACCGUUGCUUCGGCGGGCGGCGCCCUCGCGCGCCCCCCCUGGGGCCCGCACCGCGGGCGCCCGCCGGAGGUACACCAAACUCUUGAUAUGUUAUGGCCACUCUGAGUCUCCUGUACUGAAUAAGUCAAAACUUUCAACAACGGAUCUCUUGGUUCUGGCAUCGAUGAAAAACGCAGCGAAAUGCGAUAAGUAAUGUGAAUUGCAGAAUUCAGUGAAUCAUCGAAUCUUUGAACGCACAUUGCGCCCGCCAGCAUCCUGGCGGGCAUGCCUGUUCGAGCGUCAUUUCAACCCAUCAAGCCCACGGCUUGUGUUGGGGACCUGCGGCUGCCCGCAGGCCCUGAAAACCAGUGGCGGGCUCGCUAGUCACACCGGGCGUAGUAGCAUACGACCUCGCUCAGGGCGUGCUGCGGGUUCCAGCCGUAAAACGACCUUCACAACCCAAGGUUGACCUCGGAUCAGGUAGGAGGACCCGCUGAACUUAAGCAUAUCAAUAAGCAGGAGGAA
This 555-nucleotide ribosomal RNA is filed under the name Thermothelomyces thermophilus. RNAcentral describes it as "eukaryotic LSU rRNA". The stretch from base 180 to 333 matches the Rfam family "5.8S ribosomal RNA". Lineage: Eukaryota; Fungi; Ascomycota; Sordariomycetes; Sordariales; Chaetomiaceae. The record is from RNAcentral.